This 1085-nucleotide long non-coding RNA is filed under the name Phascolarctos cinereus (koala). Its description in RNAcentral is "lncRNA (ENSPCIG00000029528.2)". The record is from RNAcentral. Lineage: Eukaryota; Metazoa; Chordata; Mammalia; Diprotodontia; Phascolarctidae.
CCCUGGGCAAGUCCUAUAACUUAUCUAAGACUCAAUAAUUUCCUCAUCUAUAAAAUGGGCAUAACAGCACUCACACCACAGGGCUGUUGUGGAGAUCAUAUUUGAUAUUUAAAAUAAAGCACUUUACAGGCCUUAAAACAUUAAAGCAUUGUGGGCUAUCCUUAUCAUCAUCAUUAAGAGGUAGCGCGGGUUCAAAUCCCAUCUAUGAAUUCUCUAGGUAACUUUAAGUCUAUAAACUGCAGAGAAAGCACCAACGUGUUUUGGUUGAGAGAGUUUUCUUUAUGAAUAAAAUCACAGGUCCAUUCUCUAUCCCUGUUAUUAGGUUACGUCCCUCAGUUUCCCCAUCUGUGAAAUGGGAAUACUUCUAUAUCUCCAUGUAUAAGCAUCUGGUUGGAAGCUCAGCAAAAGCAGAGCCAUUCCUGUUCCUGUUCCUGGAGCAAGAUGCCAGCUCCCCCAGAAAAAACAGAUGAGAGUGAAGGCAACAGACGGCAUUCGAUUCAAGGAGCCCCAGAAAAAGCCACUCCUUGGUGGCUGGAAUGAGAAGAAUUGGAUGGAUGAAAGAGGCAGAGAUUUAGAGCUACACGGAGCACCCUCCCUCACCCCACAAUCAUUUAAUAGGAUCUUAGACUGAAAACUAAGAGGGGCCUUAGAGGCCACUGAGUCCAACCCCCAUGUUAUAGAGGAGGAAGCUAAGCCUGAAAGAGUUCACAUGACUUGCCCAGGGUCACACAGAGUAAAUGAAGCGAGAUUUGACCUGAGGUCUUCUGUCUCCAGGCCCCACUCUACUUACCUACUGCAAAACAUAGCUACCUAAUGGUGAGGCAAUUGAGACACCGUAUGGUUAAAUGACUUGUCCAAAGUCAUACAUGCUGUAAAUAGAAGAGCCUGGAUUCAAACCCAGUUCUUAUGACUUCAGACUUGGACUACUGCAAUACUGUUCUGGCCCAUCUUACUGCCUCUGGGCUUGGCUGCACGCAACGUCAGCGUCAUUUCCUCUGCACAUAUCUGGUCAUGUCCUUUCUCUGCCAAACUCCUCUAGUGAUCAAUGCCUCUUUUUGGCAAUAAAAAGCUCAAACCUUUUCUCA